RNAcentral lists this ribosomal RNA (392 nucleotides) under uncultured bacterium. RNAcentral describes it as "bacterial SSU rRNA". It matches the Rfam family "Bacterial small subunit ribosomal RNA", at positions 28 to 416 of the family's 1533-position model. The record is from RNAcentral.
GAUGAACGCUGGCGGCGUGCUUAACACAUGCAAGUCGAACGAGGUCCAUGGAGCUUGCUCCGGAAGACCUAGUGGCGAACGGGUGCGUAACACGUGAGAAACCUGCCCCGAUCUCUGGGAUAACAGUUGGAAACGACUGCUAAUACCGGAUGCCGUCCCACCGCUUCAUGGCGGAGUGACGAAAGAUUUAUCGGAUCGGGAGGGUCUCGCGGCCUAUCAGCUAGUUGGAGAGGUAACGGCUCACCAAGGCAUCGACGGGUAGCUGGUCUGAGAGGAUGAUCAGCCACACUGGGACUGAGACACGGCCCAGACUCCUACGGGAGGCAGCAGUGGGGAAUCUUGCACAAUGGGCGAAAGCCUGAUGCAGCAACGCCGCGUGCGGGAAGAAGGCC